Molecule: ribosomal RNA, 445 nt
Filed under: uncultured bacterium
Lineage: Bacteria
Description: partial 16S ribosomal RNA
Rfam family: Bacterial small subunit ribosomal RNA
Source: RNAcentral
GUGAGGAAUAUUGGUCAAUGGGCGCAAGCCUGAACCAGCCAUCCCGCGUGCAGGAAGACGGCCCUAUGGGUUGUAAACUGCUUUUCCGGGGGGAGAAUUUUUCCGUCGUGACGGGAAUUGACGGUACCCCGGGAAUAAGCAUCGGCUAACUCCGUGCCAGCAGCCGCGGUAAUACGGAGGAUGCGAGCGUUAUCCGGAUUUAUUGGGUUUAAAGGGUGCGUAGGCGGAAUGAUAAGUCAGUGGUGAAAACCUGCAGCUUAACUGUAGACUUGCCGUUGAUACUGUCAGUCUUGAGUGUGGUCAAGGUAGGCGGAAUGUGUAAUGUAGCGGUGAAAUGCUUAGAUAUUACACAGAACACCGAUUGCGAAGGCAGCUUACUGGGCCAUUACUGACGCUGAUGCACGAAAGCGUGGGGAUCGAACAGGAUUAGAAACCCGAGUAGUCC